GUGCCAGCAGCCGCGGUAAUACGGAGGGUGCGAGCGUUAAUCGGAAUUACUGGGCGUAAAGCGAGCGCAGGCGGUUUCUUAAGUCUGAUGUGAAAGCCCCCGGCUCAACCGGGGAGGGUCAUUGGAAACUGGGAGACUUGAGUGCAGAAGAGGAAAGUGGAAUUCCAUGUGUAGCGGUGAAAUGCGUAGAGAUAUGGAGGAACACCAGUGGCGAAGGCGACUUUCUGGUCUGUAACUGACACUGAGGCGCGAAAGCGUGGGGAGCAAACAGGAUUAGAAACCCCGGUAGUC
This 291-nucleotide ribosomal RNA is filed under the name uncultured prokaryote. RNAcentral describes it as "partial 16S ribosomal RNA". It matches the Rfam family "Bacterial small subunit ribosomal RNA", at positions 505 to 795 of the family's 1533-position model. The record is from RNAcentral.